Trichosurus vulpecula (common brushtail) is the source of this 622-nucleotide long non-coding RNA. RefSeq lists it as uncharacterized. The transcript has 3 exons. Lineage: Eukaryota; Metazoa; Chordata; Mammalia; Diprotodontia; Phalangeridae. The record is from RefSeq and is a predicted model, not a curated record.
AAGCCAAGGAGAGGCCAACAUUCAGGGAGCCAUUUUUCUGCCAUGGAAUUAAAUGGCCAAGUGGGUUUUCCUUUGUUCCAAAAGGGGGAACGCUUUUCCUCUGACUCCACCAUCCAGUGCAGGAUUGCCCCGUGUCUUGUCCAAUGUUGGUCACCAAUGCUAAAGGACCGAUGGAAGAAGGAAGACUUCAUUUUUUUUUAAAUGAUUUUGGAUUUUGCUUUUUUCUACUUAUGACCUGGAAUCCAUCUUUGUCUUGUAUAACUAGGUCAUAGCCCACCAUUAAUGUCAGCAGUUUAAAAAUUUUGAAUCCAAAAAACCUUAACCAGCCCCACCGGCGAAGCCAGCCAGCCUUUGGUCGAACCCUGGGAAAAGUUUGCCGAAUUCGAAGGCGAUGAAAUGACAUGACACUGUAAUUGACAAAAAGGUUCACCUUCCAGACUCCAUUGCGCCAAGCUGAGCACCGGUAAGUAAAAACGUGCCUUUUAAAAGCCCUUGGAAGCACACCGGCUAGAGCAGGCCCCGCGCUGCACAUUUCACAGAGCCGAGGGACUGAGCCUGCCUGGGUUUCCAAGCUUGUUGUCGGUUGUAGUUGGCGAGCAGGGCAGGCAACAUGGACAGUGGA